AUUGAACGCUGGCGGCAUGCUUUACACAUGCAAGUCGAACGGUAACAGGCCUUCGGGUGCUGACGAGUGGCGAACGGGUGAGUAAUGCAUCGGAACGUACCCAGAGGUGGGGGAUAACGCAGCGAAAGCUGUGCUAAUACCGCAUGUGAUCUGAGGAUGAAAGCGGGGGACCGAGCAGCAAUGUUUGGCCUCGCGCCUUUGGAGCGGCCGAUGUCGGAUUAGCUAGUUGGUGGGGUAAAGGCCUACCAAGGCGACGAUCCGUAGCUGGUCUGAGAGGACGACCAGCCACACUGGGACUGAGACACGGCCCAGACUCCUACGGGAGGCAGCAGUGGGGAAUUUUGGACAAUGGGCGCAAGCCUGAUCCAGCAAUGCCGCGUGCGGGAAGAAGGCCUACGGGUUGUAAACCGCUUUUGGCAGGAACGAAACGGUGUCCGCUAAUACCGGGCGCUAAUGACGGUACCUGCAGAAUAAGCACCGGCUAACUACGUG
This 492-nucleotide ribosomal RNA is filed under the name uncultured bacterium. RNAcentral describes it as "partial 16S ribosomal RNA". It matches the Rfam family "Bacterial small subunit ribosomal RNA", at positions 29 to 507 of the family's 1533-position model. The record is from RNAcentral.